RNAcentral lists this ribosomal RNA (489 nucleotides) under Triticum aestivum (bread wheat). RNAcentral describes it as "partial small subunit ribosomal RNA". The record is from RNAcentral. Lineage: Eukaryota; Viridiplantae; Streptophyta; Magnoliopsida; Poales; Poaceae.
AUGGCGAGCGUGGGCGCGCUGCUGAUGGCCGCCGUGCUCCCGCCCGUGGCCGCGCUGCUCGUGGCGAUGGCCGUCCGGGCCGCGUCGCGCGGGCUGGGCGCGCUGGCGCGCGCGCACUACGCGUGGCCGGCGAGUUCGCCGUCCGUGCACGCGCGGAAGUGCGGCAGGAGGGCGGCGCCGGAGCAGCCGGACCACGAGCUGCGCGUGUCGCGGCACCGCGGGGGCGCGGCGGUGGAGUGCGCGGUCUGCCUGAGCGGCGUGGAGGAGGGCGACGAGGUGCGGGAGCUGCGGUGCCGGCACGUGUUCCACCGCGCCUGCCUCGACCGGUGGCUCGCGACGCCGCCGGCCACGUGCCCGCUCUGCCGCUCCCGCCUGCUGACGGCGCCGCCGGUAGAGGAGGAGGAGGAGGUGGAGGACCUGGACUCGGACCUGCUGCUGCUCAUGGCGUACGUGCACGGCGGCGGCCGCAGAUGGUUCUGGUCGCCGUGA